AUACGAAAGGUGCAAGCGUUGUUCGGAUUUACUGGGCGUAAAGAGAGUGUAGGUUGUUUAUUAAGUCGGAUGUGAAAUCCCGGGGCUCAACCUCGGAACUGCAUUCGAUACUGGUAGACUAGAGUUCGAGAGGGGUAAGCGGAAUUCCGUGUGUAGCAGUGAAAUGCGUAGAUAUACGGAGGAACACCUGAGGCGAAGGCGGCUUACUGGACCGAUACUGACACUGAGACUCGAAAGCGUGGGUAGCAAACAGAAUUAGAAACCCUAGUAGUCC
Molecule: ribosomal RNA, 274 nt
Filed under: uncultured bacterium
Lineage: Bacteria
Description: partial 16S ribosomal RNA
Rfam family: Bacterial small subunit ribosomal RNA
Source: RNAcentral